RNAcentral lists this ribosomal RNA (305 nucleotides) under uncultured bacterium. RNAcentral's name for it is "partial 16S ribosomal RNA". It matches the Rfam family "Bacterial small subunit ribosomal RNA", at positions 505 to 807 of the family's 1533-position model. The record is from RNAcentral.
ACAGCAGUCGCCACGGUAAUACGAAGGGUGCAAGCGUUAAUCGGAAUUACUGGGCGUAAAGCGUGCGUAGGCGGUUUGUUAAGUCUGUUGUGAAAUCCCCGGGCUCAACCUGGGAAUGGCAAUGGAUACUGGCAAGCUAGAGUGUGUCAGAGGAUGGUGGAAUUCCCGGUGUAGCGGUGAAAUGCGUAGAGAUCGGGAGGAACAUCAGUGGCGAAGGCGGCCAUCUGGGACAACACUGACGCUGAGGCACGAAAGCGUGGGGAGCAAACAGGAUUAGAUACCCGCGUAGUCCCUGUCUCUUAUAC